AAUAAGAUGGCUGAGUGAAAUAGGCGGUAGAUUGUAAAUCUAUGGACGAGGAAAAAACCUUUCUUAUUA
RNAcentral lists this transfer RNA (69 nucleotides) under Leptomithrax sp. QNL-2021. RNAcentral's name for it is "tRNA-Tyr". It matches the Rfam family "tRNA". From Rfam's summary of the family: Transfer RNA (tRNA) molecules are approximately 80 nucleotides in length. Their secondary structure includes four short double-helical elements and three loops (D, anti-codon, and T loops). Lineage: Eukaryota; Metazoa; Arthropoda; Malacostraca; Decapoda; Majidae. The record is from RNAcentral.